This is a long non-coding RNA of Helianthus annuus (common sunflower), 586 nucleotides long. RefSeq lists it as uncharacterized. NCBI's taxonomy places the organism in Eukaryota, Viridiplantae, Streptophyta, Magnoliopsida, Asterales, Asteraceae. The record is from RefSeq and is a predicted model, not a curated record. The transcript is spliced from 3 exons.
GUCAUAUGUCUCCGAAAGCGUUUGGUUACCCGGCGUUGAUCGAGGUGAGGAGGAGGUGGUUUCCGUGCGUCCGCAACACGCCGGAACUUACCAUUCGCAUCAGGAAGGGAGUGUGCGGUCCGUGGUGCCUGAUUUGAACCAGGUCGUAGAGGAGGCGGGACCAUCUUACGUGGCUCAAAGCUAUCCGCAACAGGAAAAACAUGCAUACGGGACUUACCAUUCCCAUCAGGAAAAACAACGCAAGCUGAAAAAGUCCGAGGAAGGUGCUUUUGACAUCGAGGAAGACGAGAACGAAAUCGAGAAAGGUGUUACACACUUCGAGGAAAGUGAUCAAGACGAGGAAGAUGGUGGUGGCUGGGACGAUGGUGGUGGCUGGGACGAUGGUGGUGGCGGGGACGAUGGUGGUGAAAAGGACGAUGGUGCUAAUGACCCGAAAAAACAAGGAAAGGUAUUUGCGACACUUCACGAGUUAAAGAAUUGGGCUUACAAAACAGAAAUUGCGAAAGGUUACGUCAUUGUGACCCAACGAACGGUAACAAAAGGUGAAGAUUCGUCAGCAAGGACAGUGAAGAUAUGGUUGCAAUGC